AUCAUUGUAACGAGGGGGUGGAUUAUUCACGCUCGACAGUUUGUCACCAUAGUAAGUUGUUGUGAAGUUUGACACCUCCUAUAGAAUGUAUGCCUCUAUAAUGGAAGCCUCAAUUUUGCAUUUAUUUCUACAUUUCUUUCAAAUAGUCUUUAUACAUCUCUUGAUUUGAUAGCACCAACGUCCCUGCAUGGCCCCCCCAUUCGUGCCUCAUACGGGAGAUGAAGAAUCAAAUGCUGCAUUAGAUUGAAGAAGCCGGGUGUAAAUAUCUUCUCAAGCUUACACAAUAACACGAGUGUCAAUCUUACCAUGUCUGCAAUCAUGGUUCGAGAUAACUCUUUUGCACAAAGCUAGCGGAAGAAAUAGCUCAACUCUGUAAGCGCUAGCCAGACAUGCUCAGGGACAUAGCCUCGAACAAUCGCAGGAAGAAUCCAUUUAAUCCAUAUGUGGAAGUCAUGACUCUUCAUCCCUAAGACUCUCAGAUUAGAUAAGUUCACCCCCCUACUUAGGUUAGCUGCAUACCCAUCAGGAACCAUCAACAUCUUGAUCCACUGAAGUAUUUCCUUCCUCUAGGCCUUGCUUAGGACGAAAUUGGCCUUAGGCCUUCUCCAUGCCUUUCCACCACUAGGCAGCUUCAUUGCCGAGUGUUAGCCUGGAGACACUCGGCAAAGAAGCUUCUUUGCUGAGUGCCAAAGGUCGACGCUCGACAAAGUUAAGAGUCGUCAGCUAUAGACGGCUGCUAACGACCAUUUGUCGAGCGUCUUCGUUCGCCGAGCGUUUGGCACUCAGCAAACUGGUCUUUGCCGAGUGUUUCCUUGGGUCAAGAGUCCUACUCUCGGUAAACGUGGUCAUUACCGAGAGUAGGACUUUGUCGAGUGUAGCUCUCGACAAAGACUUCUUUGUCGAGUGUCCGAUAAAAAGUACUCGGCAAAGCGCCGAGCACUUGGCAAAGAGCCGGAUUUCGGUAGUGAAUGUGCAUGAGCUCACUUACGGUGGGGGGCUCAUGAAUAGUGUCAGGCUGAUCAACAAAUAAUGGUUAUAUCUGAGCAUUGCUUUUACUAAGUAGGUCAAAUUUUAUUAGCAGAUACUAGGUACAAGUGAAUACCAAUCUAAAUAAAAUGAGAGAUCAUAAUUAACAAUAAAAUCCACAAUGCGCUACAUAUGACAAAUUAAGUUUAAUUCCAUAAGUUACUCAUGUGAGGGUCCGAGUCGCUCAUGAUCGUGAGCACAGAUGAUAUAUCAGUUUUACACUCUAUAGAGGUUGCACAUCUUUACCCACAAGUCGUGUUACCCAUUUGCCAAGGGAUAGCGACUUCCCAUUCAUCUCUACUGAGGAGACAAGGCAGGGUAGCACUACAAAGCCUUUACAAAGUUCCACUAGCUUCAGAAAAUGCACUACAAUGAGGAGAUCGAUGUAGGAAUCCCCCGUCUGAAAAUCCAUCACAACAUAGUCAACCCGAAAACCUCCAUAUACCGACAACUCCCCUACCACCCUUGCCCCUUUCGGGUAAGGUAGUCCUCCGCUAGCUUUCCUAAUUAGUCAGCCAAGGGCGUCCCAUACCACCCUUAUGGUGUCACUGUUUUACCGGUGAUCGCUCUAUGUUCCAAUUAACAUAAUGAUCUUAUCAUGAAUAGUAAUAACUCAUUGACAACAAACAACAUGAUCAUGAAUAAUGUGAAUCUUAACACCCAAAACCACACAGAGCAAUAACAUAUACUACCCAAAUUUUAGUGUUAAACAAGGUAUAAAGAAGACCAAACUAUGAUGACCUAUUGGGUCCCAUCAAAAUUCACCUAAGAAGACCAUACUGAUUAACAGGAACAUUAUUAGGUAAAGAAGAGUUAUCAAGGACACAACUUGCCUUCAGCGAGCUCCUGCUUAGAGGUUUCCACCUGUUGACUUCUGGGUUCCUCGAUCACUACUCAUCUACUCGCCACAAUCCAAACAAGCAUGUGCAUAGGAGAAAUUAACAUCAUACCAAUCAUGAGAACAAACAUCAUAAUAAUGAUUUAUGCGCUGCUACAAGAUUGUAGGUUCGAGAAUGGCAAAAAUUAGAGUUAUAGUUAAGGGGACAUGAUUUUUCGAAGCUUUAGGUGAUUAAAUCGUAAAUUAUAUUCUAUGAUGAUUAAUUUAACUCAUGCGAUAAAAUAUCACAUUUAGGUAAUUAAUCCAACUUUUAAUCUAUGUUAUAUCUAUGUUAGAAUCAUAUCUAUAGUCAUGGCUAGAUUCAUAAUGUCACAUUAACCUUGAUUAGCAAAGUCAUUCUAAUAUAAAGGUAUCUAAUUAUUUCUGAGAACAAUAAAACAAUUGUUCUUAUAAUGUAGACAAUACUAAUAUGAAGCCAACACAAUUUGAACGGGUCAAAUCGGAGCUACAAUGAAUUAAUUUUGAAUUUUUGAAAUUUAUUUCUCUUUUAGGGCCCUAUCUAUAAUUUUAAAAUCAAUUUGAGGGCUUAUGUAUGUAACAUAGUACGACGGGUUCUAAUAUAAAAACUUUCAAGGUUCUUUUAGCAAAGGCGCUUGGUGAAUGGGUACGGAGAGUUUUGGGUCGUUGGAUUUAAAUUCGGGGGUUCGGAUUAGGUCCCACCCCCGCGACCUAGUGCAGAACCGAGAGCCCUCCAAUGGAAAACUAACGCCCUAGAUUUAAAAUCCUUAGAUUGAUUCCCACAUGCACGAUCUGUAUCGGACGACCGAGAUCCCCAAUCGAAUCGGUACGAGACAACUACCACUGGAUCGAGAUCCGAUGGCUCAGAUCUUAAGCUGCGAAGGGGUACGUGGCUUCUAAUCUCAUCCACUCGAGCCGCAUCGGACAACGAUGGGUUCGUCUUCACGCGCCGAACUAGAGUGCGGUGGCACUGCCAGUCCCCACAACGGAGAGAUGGCCGGAGUUCAGCUACACCAUGCAAAAGGGCCCUAGAUUUUAAUCUAAAUUGUGCAAUAUGUAGUGAAGGACAUGGCGAACGCAGGGUAACGGUUCCUCACCGGCAGGGACGAUGUACAGAGGCCUGACCAUGGAGAAUCGUGGUCUACGGUAGAUUCAAUCUCCAACGAGAAAUAUACCGAGCUCUGACCGUCCACGGCCCCUGAACUCCACAUGGAGGUGCCCGCAGACCCUUGACGAAAUGACGAGACACCUCGAGCACAGAUUCGCCCUGACGACAGCGGCUUUAUCUCUCCUUCUCGGCAGUGCUCUCUCUCACGACAAAAUUGGGAUUUUCUGGGUCUGGCG
RNAcentral lists this long non-coding RNA (3226 nucleotides) under Zea mays. Its description in RNAcentral is "long non-coding RNA (ZMAY_LNC000362)". Lineage: Eukaryota; Viridiplantae; Streptophyta; Magnoliopsida; Poales; Poaceae. The record is from RNAcentral.